Molecule: ribosomal RNA, 301 nt
Filed under: uncultured bacterium
Lineage: Bacteria
Description: partial 16S ribosomal RNA
Rfam family: Bacterial small subunit ribosomal RNA
Source: RNAcentral
CAGCAGCCGCGGGAAUACGUAGGUGGCAAGCGUUGUCCGGAAUUAUUGGGCGUAAAGGGCUCGCAGGCGGUUUCUUAAGUCUGAUGUGAAAGCCCCCGGCUCAACCGGGGAGGGUCAUUGGAAACUGGGAAACUUGAGUGCAGAAGAGGAGAGUGGAAUUCCACGUGUAGCGGUGAAAUGCGUAGAGAUGUGGAGGAACACCAGUGGCGAAGGCGACUCCCUGGUCUGUAACUGACGCUGAGGAGCGAAAGCGUGGGGAGCGAACAGGAUUAGAUACCCGGGUAGUCCCUGUCUCUUAUAC